UGGAAGGCUUGGUGGAGAGUGGAGAGGUUUCUACCUCUCGUGCACGUAAUGUCUCAAUCCCUCGAGAACUGACACCACUGACUCUAUCAUUAUAGCAGCUUCUUCCCUUAGCCUCCUUUUCCCAUCCCUCUCUUAACAGUCUUGCACGAGAUAUCGAACCGGCUCGUUGUACCGGAGCACACCAGCAGCAGCAGCAGCAGCAGCAAAAUAGCUUGAGCAACCACAAGUGUUGGUCUCUUCGCUCGAUACUCCCUGUGUGUAGUGAGAAUAAAUUAUGUACAUAGUAAAAUAUAAACCUCCUAAAAGUAACUUCGCCAAGUGCCUUGGGGGCUCCUUUAUCUCUUCCUUUCACAAUAAAGAUUAUGUGUAUACAUAUACGUAUAGUAUUAUUCAAAAGUUUCAAAACACCCCCUCUGAUUAGAAAAAUCGUUUUUAUUUAUUCUUCAACAAACGGCAGCUUAUGCGGACGAGGAUAUUCGGUCCUUUAAAAACUGCAGAUAGCGGAGCCUGAGUUCAUGGUUGCAAAAGCAUCUACCAAGAUGAAACGAAUCGAGGAGGUGGAAGGUUUUUUCAGUUGCUGAUGUAAAUUAGAAACUCGUGUAACGAGAGGAACAAAUUCGCAAAGUGUUAUUAUAAAACGCAUCGAAAACUCCGUGACAUGUCGACUUACCUUUGUUUCAGGCAUUCCAUCGUUUUUCGCUUUGAGCAAACUGCAAUUAGCCUCCAGGAGGCGAAACGACGAUUGGAAAUUCAAUCUGCUUUGCCAGAACAAGAGCACAUGGUCCAAAAACUAAUGGAGAAUCGAACUUGUUUUUUUGAAUAAAUAUUUUAUUGAAACUA
Long non-coding RNA from Venturia canescens, 840 nucleotides. RefSeq lists it as uncharacterized. The record is from RefSeq and is a predicted model, not a curated record. NCBI's taxonomy places the organism in Eukaryota, Metazoa, Arthropoda, Insecta, Hymenoptera, Ichneumonidae. The transcript has 2 exons.